This 655-nucleotide ribosomal RNA is filed under the name uncultured bacterium. Its description in RNAcentral is "bacterial SSU rRNA". It matches the Rfam family "Bacterial small subunit ribosomal RNA", at positions 110 to 753 of the family's 1533-position model. The record is from RNAcentral.
GUAACACGUAAAGAACCUGCCCACAGGUCUGGGAUAACCACGAGAAAUCGGGGCUAAUACCGGAUGGGUCAUCGGACCGCAUGGUCCGAGGAUGAAAGGCGCUUCGGCGUCGCCUGGGGAUGGCUUUGCGGUGCAUUAGCUAGUUGGUGGGGUAAUGGCCCACCAAGGCGACGAUGCAUAGCCGACCUGAGAGGGUGAUCGGCCACACUGGGACUGAGACACGGCCCAGACUCCUACGGGAGGCAGCAGUAGGGAAUCUUCCACAAUGGACGAAAGUCUGAUGGAGCAACGCCGCGUGAACGAUGAAGGCCUUCGGGUCGUAAAGUUCUGUUGUAAGGGAAGAACAAGUGCCGCAGGAAAUGGCGGCACCUUGACGGUACCUUGCGAGAAAGCCACGGCUAACUACGUGCCAGCAGCCGCGGUAAUACGUAGGUGGCAAGCGUUGUCCGGAAUUAUUGGGCGUAAAGCGCGCGCAGGCGGCCUCUUAAGUCUGAUGUGAAAGCCCCCGGCUCAACCGGGGAGGGCCAUUGGAAACUGGGAGGCUUGAGUAUAGGAGAGAAGAGUGGAAUUCCACGUGUAGCGGUGAAAUGCGUAGAGAUGUGGAGGAACACCAGUGGCGAAGGCGACUCUUUGGCCUAUAACUGACGCUGAGGCG